UGCGAAAGCGUAGGGAAAGAAGCGAGGGGAUCUGGGGAAAAACCGCACGUUAUGCUUUGCAUGGAUAGAGAUUUUCUAACCCUGUUUGAACUGUCAAGCUCCAUUUCAAACAAGCUAUAUAACUUUGUCAGCAGAGAAACGUAUUAACCCAACGCCCAGCAUGCCCUGGCACAAUUUCAUAACCUUUCAGUGGCGACAAUGAUGCACAUCCUGUUCCCAUGGAGUAACAGAUCUUUCUGAAUGAGUUCUUUUGCUCGCCUCUUGCAGUUGCUGGGAGCAAAUUGCUGGUAAACAAAAUCGACUCGUCAACCGUUACCCCGCACGACGAGGGAUGAGCAGGUAUAGGUCGUCUGCCUCUUCAUGGCGUGCACCAAAUCGGUAACAGGAGCGCGUCGUUGCAUGGAAUGCAUGUCGUGCACAGGAAAGCCGUCACGCGUGCGUCAGCUGGUUCAUGGCCAUAAAGAGCACCAAGAUUCGGAGCUUGCCAUCAUUCGCAGAAGACCGCCAGAGUGUUUUAAACGCUUAACUAAUGCUACAUUCAAAUUUCUACUGUCGCACAGUUGAUAUCGACCGUAUGCAAACGACACAAUAGUGCACGGCACGGUACUGAGACGUGACACGGCUUUGUACCCAACAGCGGACAGCUUCCCGGGCGCCUGCAGUAUUCUCUUGGGCGCCAUCUGCUCGAUAGCUCGCAGCGCGUAGAAUAUAAUAGCUGCGACGCGGCACCAGAAGGCACCGCAAGAAGAUAUGUCGGCGCCUCUAGACAUGCACGUCGAUAUACAUCAUAACAUAGAGACACUAAAACACUAAAAACUAAUUUUAUAAUAACAAACGAGACAGUUAUAAACAAUAAUUCAGUUACUUUACACAACAGUCAACACGCCUUAGCACGACCAGAGCACUUCCACGGCCAUGGCCGCCAAAGCCGUCGACACACACACAGGCGACCCGAAACCAGCUUCGGCAGCUCGCUCAACACGGCUGCAGCGACCAUAGCGCCACCAAGCAC
RNAcentral lists this long non-coding RNA (1012 nucleotides) under Volvox carteri. Its description in RNAcentral is "long non-coding RNA (VCAR_LNC002627)". The record is from RNAcentral. Lineage: Eukaryota; Viridiplantae; Chlorophyta; Chlorophyceae; Chlamydomonadales; Volvocaceae.